Acanthopagrus latus (yellowfin seabream) is the source of this 3055-nucleotide long non-coding RNA. RefSeq lists it as uncharacterized. The transcript is spliced from 4 exons. NCBI's taxonomy places the organism in Eukaryota, Metazoa, Chordata, Actinopteri, Spariformes, Sparidae. The record is from RefSeq and is a predicted model, not a curated record.
CGCAGCGCGGAGGAUGAGGGGAGGAAGGGGCGGUGCCGUGGAUCAGAUGCCGAUUAAACCGUGAGAGGGAGCUCCCACACGCUGCCCCGCUCCGGCCUGUCUCUGCAACAUGUCAUCCCGCUUGUCAACACAGAAGUGACCAUGCAUGAAACAAACAGUGAAUUCCCAAUUAACCAUUUGGAUCAGAGGGAUACAUUGAUUUUCCUUUGUUGCAUACACGCCUUCUAAUCUCAUGCUGAUGAGGGAGAACAACAGUCAUCAGAGAUGUAGCCCCAUAAAGUGCACAUGCCAGUGGUCCCACUGCUGACCUGUCCAACAGGAAACAGAGCCUUAUCAACAGGAACAGAAGCAUCCUCACCCCGUCCUCAAAGGCUUCCAGCAGGUCUGUCUGUCGUUAAAGCUCCGAGGUGGCCAGAACUUUCAUCACUCUUCUCUGAUUAACACACGAGGGGAGAACCGAGCACCAGUCCUCAUAGCUCUUGGCAGCCCCGUGUCAAGCACCUUUGGGAGUCGCGCACAAACACACAACACACACUUCAGUGACUCUGCGGCAAAACACUCCCACUUUGGCAUUUGCUUGUUUGGAAAAGCUUUUAUAGUCUAAUGACCUGAAGUGGACUUCUUUCUGAUGACAAGGAUGCGUGUAAGUGUGUCUGCGUGUGUUUGUGUGUGUGUGUGUUUCCUGAUUUUCAAUUGGUGCAACCACAAACAGGUUCUCCAACAUGCUCACUGUUGAUUUUAUUGAGUGAAAACACACUCAAACAGAAACACCAACUGUGUCACUUACUGGUGAUGCAUGCUGAGAUCUGCUUCUUUUUAUAUCCCAUCUCUCAAACGCACAUGCACAUGCACAUGCACAUGCACGACAACACAGCGGCUGUGUUUAGACUGGGCCACCAUUCCUCUACAAAGAUACAGAUCACUGUUUUGCUUUCCCGAGCAUGAUGAAGGGGUAAUUAUAUCCAACUAGAGGGAAAACAUCAGAGAGAGAGAGAGUGACGGAGAAAGAGGAGGGGGUCAGAUCUUUUCCCUGUGACCACCAGUGGCAGCAGUGAUGGUGAGAAUGCAUUUUCUGUUUUGGUCUGAAGUCAGUCCCUGUGCCUGCCUCGUAAGUAGGUGUGUGACAGCAAGCAUUAGCGUCUGACGCACUUGUUGACCCUUUCGCUUAUGAUUUACUUUGUGUUCCCCAAGUGUCAAAGCUGCUCCACUGGCCUCAACCAAUUUGUCUGUGGCUUGUUGUCUCGGUGAAUCCUUCCAAGUGGUGUCUGGAAAAGGCAAAGUUCAGCCAUGAUCCCUGUCAGCUGGAGUGUGCAAAUACUGUGUUUUGUGCUGCAGCUGCUGGCCCGAGGCACAGCAUUUUGUUCAGGGACAAGGACAAUAAUUGUUUUUCCUUAUAAGCAUUGAGCAAGCAGAGUUGUUUGUCAUGGAUAUUUAUGAAAAACACUGACCCCAGGGGAAAAGAAAAUUGACCGCUUACUAAACCUCUCUUCUGAACAGUGAUUUUCCAAUCAAAGGGUUAACCAGUCUCUAAGGCUGAGCCCAGAAAUCCACUGUGUUCUGGCAGGAGACCAAAGCUUUGGACUGUGAGGUGCUGUUUCUAGUUCCAGCCGCACAUGGUUGCAAACCGCUCCAAUGCGUGCUGAAGGUCACGUACUGAUGAGCAGAACCACAUCAUCUGCAAAGAGCGGAAAAGCAAUUCUAAAAUCCCCAAACCUGACGCCCUCCUCACCCUGGCUGCGCCUUGACAUCUAUAAAAAUCAUAAACUAAAUCUGUGAUGAGGGACAACCCUGAUGCAGUCCAACACCCACUGAUUAUAAGGACCAGAAAAAAAGAACAACCACAUUACUCUAAACUCCUUCACUUUCCCCCCACAGGACUGACUAAAGGACAAGAUCAUAUGUCCUCAUCCAUGACCUCCUCUAAACAACCUUGAAAGGGUGAUGAGCUGGUCCGCUGUUCCAACACCCUGGCAUAAGCUUUCCCGAGAGGCUGAGUAACGUGAUACCCCAAUAACUGGUGUUCCAGUCCCUGUUUUUUGAAAUGUUAAUUUGAGAGUUAGCUGCAGCUGAUAAAAUCUGCUACCAAGACCGGUCAUUUAAGCUGGCUAGAAAGGAGAGCGUGCUUUUGCCUACUUCUGUCCGGAAAAAAAAUAACCAAGAGUUUAGUGCCAAAUGUGCCAUUGUUAUUGUUGUAAACUGUGUGAGAGAAUGGAAAUGUGCCGUGAGAGAAUGGGCAGGCUGGCAAGAGAUGGAAGAGUAAUUUAGGGGUGUGGGGCUUCACAAAUUCAAAGAAUCUUCUGUCAAGGUGAGCACCAACAACCAGACAAUGGGAUCGAGGAGAAACCGUUUUCGGAAUAAAGAUUGAAGGAGGCUGGAGGAGGAGAGGAGGAAGAUGUGUAGGGAGUGAGCUGGUGUGUCAGAACAGGAUGACUUUUUCACAGUCAGAACGCGGGGAUGUCUUUCCAGGAAAUUACUUUCACACAGUGCAAACGCCUGCCAGAUAUGCUGGAAACAUUUCCAGCAGCAAGCCCAAGAAAUUCAACCAAUUACCAAAGUAAUUUUCAAAGAAAAUCACCACUGAGCCAGCCAUGAACUGUAAUAUAUUUUCAUUUGAGACCAGAGACAUUUUCAGGUAAUGAACAACAGCCCUCUGAAAUUAUAAGUAAUGGUUUGGAAAAAGGUCUUACUCCCAAACUGUGCAGCCACAUUAGAGAGUUAUGUACUGUAUAUAAUGUGUGUACUUACAGGAAUAGUCGUGUUUUAGGUGAGUUUUAUUGCAAUUGCUGCUACUUGAUCCUAUAAACAUGCGUGGAUUAAGCUAAAACAGACUGAUCUCAUCCUUCAGCGUGCCAUGAAUAGUGCACGCUGAGACAUUAAGAAAGCAGACUUGACUUCUUCUCACUGGUAAAGCAGGAAAAGAGUGAAAUCCCCCAAAAAAUCCAGCUAUGCCUUUGAGUGUCCCAGUGUCCUGUGUGUGAGUUUUGGACACCAGAGCAGACGAUCUUCCUGCCAACAGUCUGUUUAUGAAGCCCAGAUUUCUCACUUUCAAACAAAA